GACAGAGGUGCCAAGCGUUAGGCGGAAUCACUGGGCGUAAAGCGUGCGCAGGCGGUGAUGUAAGACAGGUGUGAAAUCCCCGGGCUUAACCUGGGAACUGCAUUUGUGACUGCAUCGCUGGAGUGCGGCAGAGGGGGAUGGAAUUCCGCGUGUAGCAGUGAAAUGCGUAGAUAUGCGGAGGAACACCGAUGGCGAAGGCAAUCCCCUGGGCCUGCACUGACGCUCAUGCACGAAAGCGUGGGGAGCAAACAGG
This 253-nucleotide ribosomal RNA is filed under the name uncultured bacterium. RNAcentral describes it as "partial 16S ribosomal RNA". It matches the Rfam family "Bacterial small subunit ribosomal RNA", at positions 524 to 776 of the family's 1533-position model. The record is from RNAcentral.